Molecule: ribosomal RNA, 253 nt
Filed under: uncultured bacterium
Lineage: Bacteria
Description: partial 16S ribosomal RNA
Rfam family: Bacterial small subunit ribosomal RNA
Source: RNAcentral
UACGUAGGGGGCAAGCGUUGUCCGGAAUUAUUGGGCGUAAAGCGCACGCAGGUGGUUUAAUAAGUCUGAUGUAAAAGCCCACGGCUCAACCGUGGAAGGGCAUUGGAAACUGUUAAACUUGAGUGCAGGAGAGAAAAGUGGAAUUCCUAGUGUAGCGGUGAAAUGCGUAGAGAUUAGGAGGAACACCAGAGGCGAAGGCGGCUUUUUGGCAUGCAACUGACGCUGAGGUGCGAAAGCGUGGGGAGCAAACAGG